CUUUCCCAUGCCGCCUGGCGGCAUUUGCACUGGCUAUGGAGAGGCAAGGAAGAGAUUAUCACCCCCUCCUUUUUCUCUGCAGAGCUGGAGGCUGAACCCAGGCCUGUGCAAGCUGGGUAGGCACUCUACCGCUGAGCUACACCCCUAGCCGACCAGUCCCUUCUCACAGGCAACUUCUGAGAAGGUAGAGGAAUCUGUAUGCUGCUGACCAGGUGGUUUCAUGACAGUUUUCAGAGAUACCAGAGCUGAGGCUAUGGAAGGGCCCAGAGAAGUUCCUACUCUGAAGUUAGAGUCCUAGUUCACAGUCCUGAAAACUGGGGAGCCUAAAGAGAACUGCUGCCACUGCUGGAGAAAGUUUUCUGCUAAUGAAAAAACAAAGACCAAAAUAGUUUCCAGAAAUUUGAAAACUGCUCACAAACACUGGGUACUUAUUAUAAGUUUGCUAAGAAGGUGCAUUACAAAAGUCACGUGUACUUUAGCUAUUUAAACUAUAAAUGUCUAUCUGAUUAAAAACUUAACAUUUCUUA
This is a long non-coding RNA of Peromyscus eremicus (cactus mouse), 527 nucleotides long. RefSeq lists it as uncharacterized. NCBI's taxonomy places the organism in Eukaryota, Metazoa, Chordata, Mammalia, Rodentia, Cricetidae. The record is from RefSeq and is a predicted model, not a curated record. The transcript is spliced from 2 exons.